CUCAUCAAUAUGUUGAGCAACGAGAACAUUUACGAUUUUGCAGCGCCCUCCCCUCGGGCCCAAAGUCCUGUCAGACUGUUCAUCAACAAAGAACGAGUAGAGCGGUACCAAAAGAACAUAAAGAAUCUGCAGUCGGAGCACAAAACCAUGGGAAUGCCAGAAAUUGAUCCUCCUAGUCCUCAAAGCUUUAUGAGAAAGCAGGAGCAGGGUCAGCGUCCAAAGCUGGUUGAAUUAGACGAGAGUGAGCGAACCAGAGCAUGCGAUGCGGCUGGCGGGGAAAGAAAGCCGCCCGUACCAGACCGCUUUUUCCGCGAUCCUGACAGAUGCCCAAGGGACUUUAGCUCCGAGAACGUGAAUUACGCUUCGAGUUUGAUUCCUCCGGUGCUGCAUGAGCGGAUCGUCAUCGGCGCCAGAGGCGAGGUUGUCGCUCUUGAAAAUUCGGUGCUCAGACCAAAGUACAUGGGAAAGCCAGUGAGACGCCCAAAAUUGGUGUUUUUUGAUCUGUCUGCUUUUACUUCUUCCGUAAUAGAAAUACGGCAAAUUGCCCGCGAGCGUGGUCAAAUUCAAAGAAAUACAGCGCGAAAAAUCUGAAUUUGCGCAGAGGAUGAAGGAGCUUGAAGAGACGCAAAAUACGCAACAUCUCUUGGACCACAAAAAUGAAGUGCAAGAACAGU
This is a long non-coding RNA of Cloeon dipterum, 674 nucleotides long. RefSeq lists it as uncharacterized. The transcript is spliced from 3 exons. Lineage: Eukaryota; Metazoa; Arthropoda; Insecta; Ephemeroptera; Baetidae. The record is from RefSeq and is a predicted model, not a curated record.